RNAcentral lists this long non-coding RNA (923 nucleotides) under Lathyrus oleraceus (garden pea). RNAcentral describes it as "Pisum sativum (pea) long non-coding RNA (PSAT_LNC028367)". The record is from RNAcentral. Lineage: Eukaryota; Viridiplantae; Streptophyta; Magnoliopsida; Fabales; Fabaceae.
ACCAUCUCCCCCUCCGGCCGCCCCAUAUUCCUCACCUCCACUAUCCAAACCACUGCUUCCUCCAUUUUUCCGAUUGAACUUCAACCGGAAAAUUCAAACCUUCAAACAAAUUUCCAUAACCCUCUCUCCCAUUCCUGGGUUAUCUAGAGGAACCCUAGGUUUCCUGAGAUGAACCCUAACUAAUCCAAAGCCCAGAAACCCUUAACAUUUAAGAACCCUAACUGGGUUCUCACGAACCCUAAGGGUUUUGAGAAGAACCCCACCCUUAUCCAUAUGAACCUUAACCCUAUGUAGGUAGAACACUAACCCUAGCCUAAAGAGCCCUAGGUUUCAUAUGAUGAACCCUAACCCUAAUUUCCCAGAAACCCCCAAAUCAGACAUGAUUAGGAUCCAUAACAUAUCCAUACAAACAACAAUCUAACUUAAUAAUAAGGUUACGAAGACAACCCGUGGAAUGGAGUUUAAUUCGACGAUGAGGUAAGAUAUGUUCCCUUCGUCUCCUUUUGAUUUGAUUGCUCCUCUUUCUCUUUCUGACUUCCUCUCUACUCUCCUUUGUGCGAGGUUCCUGGAUGGUAAUGGAGGUUGAGCUUGGAGACUUUAGGGUUUCAAUAUGAAACCCUAAUUCUAUUUCGAUUCAAGCUUUAUUGGGAGAUUUCAGAUUGCAGCAAUUGAGGAUUUUUAGGAUUUUUUUUCAUCUUAUUCAUCUCAAUUCUUUUCGUUUUUAUAGGUUAAUUCUAGGUUUUAAGUUUUUAAUUAGAUUGAUUGUUUUUCAGGAAAUGUUUAUUUGAUUAUAAUUGUUAUUUGAUUUGGUUUAGAAAUAGGUUUAGGGUUUGGGAUUUGAUUGUAUCUGGACUGAUUUGUUUGUAAAUUAUUCAUUCAAUUGUAUUUGUUUUCAACAAUAGAAAGAUUUGAUUGGAUUUAAA